Molecule: ribosomal RNA, 200 nt
Filed under: uncultured bacterium
Lineage: Bacteria
Description: partial 16S ribosomal RNA
Rfam family: Bacterial small subunit ribosomal RNA
Source: RNAcentral
ACGCUCGACACCUACUGGAGGCAGCAGUGGGGGAUAUUGCGCAAUGGGGGAAACCCUGACGCAGCAACGCCGCGUGAAGGACGAAGGUUUUCGGAUUGUAAACUUCUUUUGUUAGGGACGAAGAAAUGACGGUACCUGACGAAUAAGCUCCGGCUAACUACGUGCCAGUAGCCGCGGUAAUCUGAGCGGGCUGGCAAGGC